GCCACUGCGCCCAACCCAGAACUAUUUUAAGCAGGCCAAUCUUUGUAUUGUUUGGGCCACACACACGAUUCAGCCAGGGGGUGGGGGGCCUUUCACGUCUCUUCUCAUGGCCCGGGCCCUGUCAGCGGCAUUCACCUGUGUGGUAGGAGCCAUCGGCUGUGGGAACUCUGUGGAAGUGGCUAGCCUUGCACAUCCUCUGAUCAUGUUGACUUCAUCAGGGUGCGAGAAGCACUUGAGCUUGGCGUCGGUGAGUUCCCUAAGCCUCUUUUGCGUGUGUUGCAGCUCAUGCCAGUUACUAUGGGAGAAUGAAUGUGAGAGAGGUUCUCAGAGAGGAUGGCCACCUCAGUGUAAAUGGGGAAGCGCUGUGCGACGACUGUAAGGGCAAGAGGCACCUCGACGCGCACACAGCCGCCCACUCGCAGUCGCCACGGCCGCCCGGUCGGGCAGGGACCCUCUGGCACAUCUGGGCAUGUGCAGGUUGUCUCUCGCCCCGUCUCCGUCUCAUCUCGCCCUGUCUCCGUCUCAUCUCGCCCUGUCACCAUGCUAUUUGUGUCUUGUGUGGUUUGUGCUUGGAAU
Molecule: long non-coding RNA, 576 nt
Filed under: Pan troglodytes (chimpanzee)
Lineage: Eukaryota; Metazoa; Chordata; Mammalia; Primates; Hominidae
Description: long non-coding RNA NONPTRT015996
Source: RNAcentral